Molecule: long non-coding RNA, 806 nt
Organism: Carassius auratus (goldfish)
Lineage: Eukaryota; Metazoa; Chordata; Actinopteri; Cypriniformes; Cyprinidae
Exons: 4
Source: RefSeq, a predicted model, not a curated record
CUUCAACAGCAAUGACUUUGCAACACAUUUCCCUUUGCGCUGCUCCUUUAAAUCCGCGUUUCAGUCAUCCGUGCCUCUGCGGUGCAAGCUUUCCUUUGCGCUUCAUUUUUUCUUUGCGCCUCGCUUUGUGUCCCUGAUUUGACGUGGGGGAGGGGUCAAGAGGUUGAGGUGUGUACAAGGGAUGAAGGCGCGUCCUUCUCGUUACGUCAUCAGCGCGAGCCCCAGACCGAGUGGAUCGAUCGAAAUGGAGGAGCAGAGACAUGCGGGUGAUGGAUCACAGGUGGAGGAAGAAGAAACUGAUCACUCUGCAUGGUAUGAUCAAAUUAUUAACUGUGGUUUUAUUGGGGCCGUUAAACCUGAGAACAAAGAGGCCAUAAUAAGAUCAAUUGUGCUUCAUGCAACUCUACGUUUGGUCCCUUUGUUGAAGCAAAUCUGAACAGGUCUUGAACUCUCCAAUCCUGGAAAACCAUUCAGGACUUUGCCACCAGUUCUUUUUCCCUGAUGUGGUGGAUGAUGAUGAUAAGGCUGAUGCAGACUUCAUCAUGCAGAACAUUCUUCCGAAAAUGUCGGAGAAGGGAUCAGUACAAGAGACUUAUGAAACCGCUAUAAUCAACUUUCUGCAAGACUUUCUCCAAGAAAUUGAAAGCUGUGUUAUGUAUGAACUGACAGAGUUGAUUUAGUAUAAAUAUUGUAAAAAAAACCCCACAAAUUAAUGUUAAAAUGUAAUUGAUUUAAUUCAGACAAUAUCAACCCCAUCCAAGCCAUUCAAUUUGACAACGGUUUAAACUGAAUUUAAAAUUAUACUA